RNAcentral lists this ribosomal RNA (500 nucleotides) under uncultured bacterium. Its description in RNAcentral is "partial 16S ribosomal RNA". It matches the Rfam family "Bacterial small subunit ribosomal RNA", at positions 30 to 523 of the family's 1533-position model. The record is from RNAcentral.
AUUGAACGCUGGCGGCAUGCCUUACACAUGCAAGUCGAACGGUAACGGGUCCUUCGGGAUGCCGACGAGUGGCGAACGGGUGAGUAAUAUAUCGGAACGUGCCCAGUAGUGGGGGAUAACUGCUCGAAAGAGCAGCUAAUACCGCAUCCGACCUGAGGGUGAAAGGGGGGGAUCGCACGCCCUCCCGCUAUUCGAGCGGCCGAGAUCAGAUUAGCUAGUUGGUGGGGUAAAGGCCUACCAAGGCAACGAUCUGUAGUUGGUCUGAGAGGACGACCAGCCACACUGGGACUGAGACACGGCCCAGACUCCUACGGGAGGCAGCAGUGGGGAAUUUUGGACAAUGGGCGCAAGCCUGAUCCAGCAAUGCCGCGUGCAGGAAGAAGGCCUUCGGGUUGUAAACUGCUUUUGUCAGGGAAGAAAUCUUCUGGGCUAAUACCCCGGGAGGAUGACGGUACCUGAAGAAUAAGCACCGGCUAACUACGUGCCAGCCGCCGCCGUAA